This 405-nucleotide long non-coding RNA is filed under the name Cyanistes caeruleus (blue tit). RNAcentral's name for it is "lncRNA (ENSCCEG00000010667.1)". The record is from RNAcentral. Lineage: Eukaryota; Metazoa; Chordata; Aves; Passeriformes; Paridae.
GUGAAGUCAAAACAGAAGACACUUAGCUCUCAUGUCUCUCAGGCCAGGCUUUGGAUAAGCGAAUUUUCUCUGCCUGUUUUUCUUCCUCAGCUACAAAUGGAGUUAAAGAAGCCUUGUACAGCAGAAAAAGGACUUGAAAGCCGCUCUUCCACCUUAUAACUGGGAAGAUUGCAGCUAAACACACUGCAUUAGAAGAAAUUCCUGUCACGAAUUGCCUGCUUCCCCCACCGAGCCCUUGUGAAUCAUCCACCAGGGAACAACACGGCACCGCUACCGUGCUGAGCGUAGCAGCUGCCAGGCUGCUCUCCUCGUCUGCUGAAAGACGAUGCCCAAUGUGAGCAUUCAACAGCUCUUGUGGGUCGAUAACAUGAAAUCAUAUUCAAAAUUUUUGACCUAUUUUUCACC